RNAcentral lists this long non-coding RNA (282 nucleotides) under Capsella grandiflora. Its description in RNAcentral is "long non-coding RNA (CGRA_LNC001045)". Lineage: Eukaryota; Viridiplantae; Streptophyta; Magnoliopsida; Brassicales; Brassicaceae. The record is from RNAcentral.
UUCCACUACGUAACUAUUAAACAAGAAUCUCUAAUAUCAUUAUGCAAACACAAAAAAAAUCGGAGUCCUUAAUGAUCAAACUCAGUCGGAAGAUGACUCCCCCGGUGAGAAUUGCAGUUCUCCAAGCGUUUGUAUUCACCGAUUCGGGCGGAGUGCAGUACGUGAACCAGAACCGAUCCGAUCAUUGGCAUCAGUUUUUUUCUUUCACAAAUGUUGAAAUGGUUAUGAAAAAAGAGAUCUCCGCCAUUGUCAUCGUCUAAUUUCUUUCUUUCACAAAUGUUG